Cornus florida is the source of this 1302-nucleotide long non-coding RNA. RefSeq lists it as uncharacterized. The record is from RefSeq and is a predicted model, not a curated record. The transcript has 5 exons. Lineage: Eukaryota; Viridiplantae; Streptophyta; Magnoliopsida; Cornales; Cornaceae.
CAGGGAUGAAAAUUUUCUCCCUCUCAAUCUUAUAAACCAACAAGCCCCAACCUUCUACCCUAGACAUUCUGAACUGUCUGUAAUCUGAUUUUUGACUUCUAAGAUGUCGUUUCUCAGAGGAGAAUUGCCCAGGAAUUUGUUUUUUGGCUUCACUCACAACUUCCACUACAUCCGCUUCCGUUGCUGCGGGUAUUGAUACAUUUCUGCAACCAAUAAAUGCAGCCGGUAAUCAAGAAAAUGCUCAGCAGUUUUCUGCAGUUUAAUCUUUGCCCCAUGAUAAUGUGCCCAAUGGAUCACCAGUUCAAGGAUCCAGUGUUGCGAAGUGUUUGUUCAAUCAGCCUAAUCAAUCCCCUCCAACUAAUUCGUCUGGUCCCAUGACACCUUUCAGAGCAACUUCCUCUCAAACUGACAAAUCUGUUUCUCCACUCACUGCUACUCCAAGUAACAAUGUUGCAGCCCAUCUAGUAACCGCACUGUAAUCACUUAAGAGACAAUUAGAGUAAGCCCUGCCAAACAAGUAACUUAUUAUUCCAUUGAGAGGAAUCACUAUAUUUCAUCUUCCUCACCAGUCAAGACAAAUUUGAAGAGGCUUGGCAUAAGAAAUCAUGUAAAAGGCAGGCUAGAUUUUGAUGGUUCUGACAUGCCAGUUAACUCUGAAAAAUCGAUAAUUGAUAAGGUUCCAAUGUCUCAAUCCAACAAUGACUUGGACAUCUUUGAUUUUGAUUAAACUAAUAUAGAUGCUCUUGGAAUGGAUUUUUGCCUCUCUGAAUUGUUGGUUGAUUUUGAUCUUGAUGGUGAGGGAAUUAAUUAUUCUUGCCAGCCAGCCUUGGGUUCUCCAGACUCCCUUUCUGGAUCCUAAAACGAAUCAGGAGAUGCUACUCUGGGUGCUAAUCAAGUUUUAUCUGAGUUUUCAUCCACUGUGACAGAAGUUUUUUCAGAGAACGGCAUGAAUACACAAGCAGGCCCAGAUUCUGUGACUAAUGUGAAGUCCAUAACAAAAUGCAUUAAGAUAUUAAGUCCUGCAAAGAAUCAUACAUGCUCUACUUUGGAUCGGGAGAAUCUGUCAGCAAGAAGCUGACUGGCUUAACAAUACCGACUACUCAUAUAUUGACAUGGACCAAUGCAGUAAUUACCACCUGAUGUUGUUAUUGGGAUUUAUAUGCCCUGGCACAGUAAAUUUCUAUUUGGAUUAUAGUGAUAUAUAUUCCUGACGUUUAAGAAAUAUUUAUGCUUUAUACAAUUGGUGAAUUCAAUGUAUUAUGUUUCGAUUCAUUAUAGAAUUGAUAGUGUCCAUUUGAUUAU